UUAACAUUAAUUGGCACCGAGACAAACAUUUACUAAACUAAUCAUGCUUCAUUCCAUCAAAUAUUUCAAUGAAAAAAAAUACAUUAUCUGGUUUUUACCUGGUGAUGAAUUCAACUUCAGUCUUGACUCUUCAUGCGCCAAACCGAUAACCACUUCCAGCCUCGCCGUCACCUGGCAGACCGCCCUACGUCAUCACUCAUGAAUAUUCAUGUUUAUAAAUUAUAUAUUGUCGUAGUCUCGGUCUCUGAAACGCUUAUGAUUGCUUCGGCUUGAAGAUGGAGAAGCCGGCAACGGCUAGUACAUGGUCAAAUCUAUGGACUUCUUUAUCGGACGACAAUUUGAAAGGGUACAUGAACACCUUUCAGGAGGCCGAAAAUGUGCGAAAGGCUUUCGAGGUGGAAAAGUCAUUGACUUUUGUUUCGGGGAAAAAAAGAGAGGGCAUGCCAAAGAAAUUAAAGAGUAAGGUUUUAUGAUGUUGGAAAUGACGUAGUGCCUUAUAAUGGUAUGCCCUUCAUCAUAUGUUCCAAGUAUGAGAGGAACUGUGUUUAUGGAGUGGAUAAACACAAGCGGGCCACGGAAAAACAAAAGAUUUUGAAUGAAGAUGAGUUGAAGCACAAAAUCAUGUUGACAGAAUAUGGUAUCAAAUUACAUACUAGCAAAAGUAUAAGGAUUCAACUUAACUGAUGUUGGUAUCAAAUCUUUGAAGAGGGGUCAGUGGCUGACAGAUCAGGUUAUGGAUGGUUACCUAGCCUGUUUGACACAAAAGGAAAUGGAUAAAGGGUUAAAGGUCAAACACGAAGUUGUAUCGACAAUGACCAACAUAUAAUAGAUAUGAUAAACAUGUGCCAAAUAAGAAGUGCAGAGUCAUGGAGUAUGACUACGGUAUAUCAUUGGAGCUUAUCACCAGCGUGGAGGUCACUGAGAUAUAGUGAUUGUGGAACCAAAAAGAGGGGCAGUUUAUUUUUAUAAUCCGCUGGGGGAAACUGCAUUUCAACAGAGAAGAGCUAUCAAUAGUUGGAGGAAUUAUGUGAAUAGAAGCAUGGUUUUCAAUACAUCAUGGCAUUUGGAAUCAAAGCCACAUGCUAAACAGUUAGAUAGCUGCAACUGUGGAGUAUACUGUUUAAUGUUUGCAGAAAGACAUCUUUCAGGAGAUUCAUUGCUUGACAUCUCUCUAAAAGAUGUUGAAGCAAAGAGAAGGGAGAUAGGAUGUACCUUUCUGCUUUAUGAAGUGUACCUGGAUGAACAAUGUCCUUGCUGUGGAUUUCAAACCAGCAAUGAAAACAAAUCAAAUCUUCUACAAUGCAGAAAUUGUGGAAGAUACUUCCACAAAAAGAACCGUUGUGUUGGAAUGAUGGCUUUGACAAAAGAAAGGACAUUCUUAUGUCACGAGUGUAAAAGUGGUGACAGGAAGAUUUGAAUAUUGGUGGAUCUCACUGUAUUAAUGGUUCCAUUAAAAUGUGAAAGCUGUGAGGCAAUCCAUUAAAACUAAAGACAAUUUAGUAAUUAUUAAUACAUGUAAUAUAAUUUGUAUAUUGUUGAUCAAUUGAUUU
This is an RNA transcript of Pecten maximus, 1550 nucleotides long. RefSeq lists it as uncharacterized. The record is from RefSeq and is a predicted model, not a curated record. The transcript has 10 exons. NCBI's taxonomy places the organism in Eukaryota, Metazoa, Mollusca, Bivalvia, Pectinida, Pectinidae.